Molecule: ribosomal RNA, 467 nt
Filed under: uncultured bacterium
Lineage: Bacteria
Description: partial 16S ribosomal RNA
Rfam family: Bacterial small subunit ribosomal RNA
Source: RNAcentral
GACGAACGCUGGCGGCGUGCUUAACACAUGCAAGUCGAACGAUGAAGCCCAGCUUGCUGGGUGGAAGAGUGGCGAACGGGUGAGUAACACGUGAGUAACCUGCCCUGAACUCUGGGAUAAGCGCUGGAAACGGUGUCUAAUACUGGAUACGACCUAUCACCGCAUGGUGUGUGGGUGGAAAGAUUUAUCGGUUCUGGAUGGACUCGCGGCCUAUCAGCUAGAUGGUGAGGUAAUGGCUCACCAUGGCGACGACGGGUAGCCGGCCUGAGAGGGUGACCGGCCACACUGGGACUGAGACACGGCCCAGACUCCUACGGGAGGCAGCAGUGGGGAAUAUUGCACAAUGGGCGCAAGCCUGAUGCAGCAACGCCGCGUGAGGGAUGACGGCCUUCGGGUUGUAAACCUCUUUUAGUAGGGAAGAAGCGAAAGUGACGGUACCUGCAGAAAAAGCACCGGCUAACUACGUG